GCUCCGGUGGUUUAAGUGGUUAGAGCAUCUGCUUCAGAAUGGUAGAGAUCGCGGGUUCGAACCCCGGCCAAAUCA
Potamilus streckersoni is the source of this 75-nucleotide non-coding RNA. The record is from the annotation of a GenBank genome assembly. Lineage: Eukaryota; Metazoa; Mollusca; Bivalvia; Unionida; Unionidae.